This is a long non-coding RNA of Felis catus (domestic cat), 1211 nucleotides long. RefSeq lists it as uncharacterized. The record is from RefSeq and is a predicted model, not a curated record. NCBI's taxonomy places the organism in Eukaryota, Metazoa, Chordata, Mammalia, Carnivora, Felidae. The transcript is spliced from 5 exons.
AAGCUGCUAGGUGAUUCUGAUGCAGCCUAAAGUUUGGGAACUACUGGUGUUUGCUAAUAGAGUGGUUCUCAACAUUGUCUGAACACUGGAAUCACUUGGAGAACUUUAAAAAUGAAUACUCAUGUCUGGUUCCCACUUCUGUGGAUUCUAAUUUAAUUGGCCUGACCUCUGGCCUGAUCAUUGACGUUGCAAAACCUCUCCAGGGGAUUCUAAUAUGCAAACAAGCAUGGGCCCCACCCACCGUGCUAAGUCAAUCUACUCUCUUACAAGGGGCAAAUUUCAAAAAGGCAAAGCAGGAGAUAGUGUUGCCAGAAAACAAAGCAAAAUAGGAGUUUGGGUGAAAGGCAGAUAGAAGGAGUUAUAUAUACAGAAUGCUUUCUUUCUGCUUUAUGUAAAGGCAUCCGACUCAGUCUCCAGAACCUUUUCAACUGAUGUUUAGUUCUCCAGAUUUUUCAAAAGGCCUUGAUGAAAUUUCACAGCACAAUUGAUGGAUUCAAUUGUGGCUGGGGUUGGAGAUGCUUGUGAAGGAAGAAUCAAGAAUGUGUGAUGAUGAAGAGGAAAUUGCAUUAGAAAGAAAGGCAUACGUGGGCACUUCUCUGGUUAGUAUAGUUGAUGGGAUCCCAUGGUGCUGUCCAGUAGUGAUAUUUGCCGGAAGAAUCAAGUAAUGUUGAAGAGCUGCUACCCAGCUGGGCCGCCUAAACAAGGUGGUUGUGCUCCAGGAGAAGGGGACAGAGAGAGAGAAUGAAGAGUAGAAUCUGAGUCGGGCAGCAGGCAUCAGGCCUGGAGCAGAGCCCAACACAGGUCUUGAACAUGACCCUGAGAUCAAAACCUGAGCAGAGAUCAAGGGUCAAACAUUUACCAGACUGAACCACCCAGGCACCCCAUUCAUGGCUCUUCUUGACUGACAUCCUCUGCGUUCUCAUUUUUACGUUUAAGAUGUUUAUUUUUCUAAGCUGGCAUUUUAAAAAAAUGCUAAAAACUGGCUGCCCAUUUUCAUAGACUGGAAAUCUGGUUAUUACGGAGCUCUAAAAGUAGAAUUAAGUUACCGGUGGAGAUGGGUGAAAUAGGGGAAUGGAAUUAAAAGUACGCCUAUCAUGAUGAGCACUGAGUAAUAUAUUAGAAUUGUUGAGUCACUAUAUGGUACACCUGAAACUAAUAUAACCCUGUAUGUUAACUAAUUGGAAUUUAAAAAACUUAAUAAAAAUACAUUU